RNAcentral lists this ribosomal RNA (439 nucleotides) under uncultured bacterium. RNAcentral's name for it is "partial 16S ribosomal RNA". It matches the Rfam family "Bacterial small subunit ribosomal RNA", at positions 338 to 795 of the family's 1533-position model. The record is from RNAcentral.
CCUACGGGAGGCAGCAGUGAGGAAUAUUGGACAAUGGCCGAAAGCCUGAAGCAGCAAAGUCGCGUGAGCGAUGAAUGUCCUAGGGUUGUUAAGCCUCGUUUUUCAGGAAGAUAAUUCACGUACUUGUGGAGGUAGCCCCGUCCCACUACAUAACAGCAGCCGCGGUAACACGUAGGCGGCGAGCGUUAUCCGGAGUUACUGGGCGUAAAGGGGGCGUAGGGGGUUUAUUAAGUCAGAGGUGAAAGUCUCCGGCUAAACCGUAGUAAGCCGUUGAAACUGAGGAACUUGAGUGGAGGAGAGGUGAGUGGAAUGCGUGGUGUAGCGGUGAAAUGCAUAGAUAUUAGGCGGAACACCGAUUGCGAAGGCAGCUCUCUGGACUGUGACUGACGCUGAGGCACGAAAGCGUGGGGAGCGAACAGGAUUAGAUACCCCAGUAGUC